CUUGUAUUAUUUUAAUUUUAGUUUCUUGUGUACAAUUUGGAAAUUAGUAUGGCGUUCAUUAUCACUGAACUAGUAUAUAUUUGUUUAGGGGCCAGUUGAAGGACGCCUCUGAGUGCGGGAAUUUCUCGCUACAUUGAAGACCUGUUGGUGACCUUCUGCUGUUGUUUUUUUCUAUGGUCGGGUUGUUGUCUCUUUGGCACAUUCCCCAUUUCCAUUCUCAAUUUUAUAUAUAUAUAUAUAAUAA
This 244-nucleotide long non-coding RNA is filed under the name Mytilus galloprovincialis (Mediterranean mussel). The record is from RNAcentral. Lineage: Eukaryota; Metazoa; Mollusca; Bivalvia; Mytilida; Mytilidae.